This 496-nucleotide ribosomal RNA is filed under the name uncultured bacterium. RNAcentral's name for it is "partial 16S ribosomal RNA". It matches the Rfam family "Bacterial small subunit ribosomal RNA", at positions 28 to 506 of the family's 1533-position model. The record is from RNAcentral.
GAUGAACGCUGGCGGCGUGCCUAAUACAUGCAAGUCGAGCGAACGGACGAGAAGCUUGCUUCUCUGAUGUUAGCGGCGGACGGGUGAGUAACACGUGGAUAACCUACCUAUAAGACUGGGAUAACUUCGGGAAACCGGAGCUAAUACCGGAUAAUAUUUUGAACCGCAUGGUUCAAAAGUGAAAGACGGUCUUGCUGUCACUUAUAGAUGGAUCCGCGCUGCAUUAGCUAGUUGGUAAGGUAACGGCUUACCAAGGCAACGAUGCAUAGCCGACUUGAGAGGGUGAUCGGCCACACUGGAACUGAGACACGGUCCAGACUCCUACGGGAGGCAGCAGUAGGGAAUCUUCCGCAAUGGGCGAAAGCCUGACGGAGCAACGCCGCGUGAGUGAUGAAGGUCUUCAGAUCGUAAAACUCUGUUAUUAGGGAAGAACAUAUGUGUAAGUAACUGUGCACAUCUUGACGGUACCUAAUCAGAAAGCCACGGCUAACUACGU